Molecule: non-coding RNA, 74 nt
Organism: Eriocheir sinensis (Chinese mitten crab)
Lineage: Eukaryota; Metazoa; Arthropoda; Malacostraca; Decapoda; Varunidae
Source: the annotation of a RefSeq genome assembly
GGCUUCGUGGUGCAGUGGUUAGCACACUCGGCUCAUAACUGAGAGAGCCUGGGUUCGAUUCCCAGGCGGAGUUG